AGUACUAAGGUCAUGUACUUAUUUUCCAGAAAAUUUCUAAUAUCCAGGAGAAUAUUAGGAAUUGCACCAGGGAAAUAUUGGCCAAGUUGCAUGGUAUCAGCAGGCCUACGAUCAGCCACCCAGCAGUGAGAAUGAAAGAGAAAGACAGAAGACCAAAAAGAAUAUUGAUGAAAGAUUGACAUCUGCUGUACCACUGUUGGAUGUUUCUGAAGUAAGAGUGCCAUGAAAUGGAUAUGGAUUGGACAAAAUGUGGACCACGGUAUUUCAUGAGGUUAGGACGCUCGGCUGAAGAGCCGCAGGUUCAUGUUCGAGACCCAGUUGUUGCCAUGGGAUGAGGUGAUCAUCAUCAUCAUCAUCAUCAUCAUCAUCAUCAUCAUCUAACCUACCAAAUGUUUCCUUUAGAAAUUUUACAUUUAAAACAGGAGAGUAAAAGUGAAAGAUUGAAAUAAAUAAGUGCAAUUUGUAUCUAUUUCCCUAGAAGCAAAGGAUUGUGUCACAUUUACCUAAAGACUUAAUAUGUUUAUUUUGCUUUUACAUCUGUUGUUACAUCUGUAACAUAUUGUUAUGAUAAAAAGAGUUCAAUAAAAAUAUCAUUUCUUAAAAUUCAGCCUUAGAGAAAAUAAUUAUCAUAUUAUUGUGGAUAACAUAUAGUUCUAGAGCAAUAGUACUGAGAAUGUUGCAGAGUUUGUAGCAAAUAGAAUGAAUAAUUGAAACUCCACAACUUUUAUUCUCCAUGUAGAGAGACAGACCAAUAUUUCAUGUCAUGUAAAAUAAUUCAGUGUAUUUGCAUAAAAUGUGAAUUAUCUGUUACUGACCAAUACAAAAACAACUAUGAGGGCACUUUGAUUUAAGUUGCAAAGAACAUUCAUAAAUAAUCUUGGAAAGCAAGAUGUACCUACAUUUAAUCAGCACUUGUUAAAAUUUUAUUCCCUACAGUUAUUCAACAGGAUCCAUGGUAUAAGAGCAUAAUUACAAAAAUCAGAUUUGAGCUCAUUUGACAACAGAAGGGUUUUUAUGGUGACCUAUCUCCAAAUGUUCCUAUUUGUAAUUAAAUGCAGCAAUCAGCAGUAAGGAUUCUGAAGCUGUUUUAGUAGUUCCGCUAUUCUGCUUAACAUGUGGCACCCGUAAUAAUUAAAAUGAUACUAACACAUGCACAAUUUUAUGGCCCUUAUGGUGCAACCCAUUAUGCCAAGUAAGGGCCUCUGUUUUCACAGCAUACUGCACAUGGUCUCAUUACACCCACUUUUCUUUUCCUGUCUUCACACUAACAACUGUUAAAAGUGAAUCAACACACGAAACGUACUCUAACAGCUCAGUGUUUAUGAUAUGUGUGCUGUUAGUCAGUGAACAGGAAAAUCUAAACAUUUACUGUUUAUGUAAAGAAUAGUGCUAGUGUUCAUGAAUUGCUUAGGUCUGAUUAUUUUACUAUCCAGAUCCAAUGUACCGGUGAGUUUUCUUACCACCUAUCCUUCCCCUCCAGUUUUUACUUUUGAGUGCUAGCAGGCUGUUGCGAAUUUGUAGAGCCUCAGUUCAACUUAUCCCAAAAAGCCAAUGUUUUCUGGAUUAACGUGCUUUUUUUAAAAAAAUGUGAAUAAUUUUGUAAUUAUGCAGCUACUCAAAGACCCCCACACUCAUUUUACAGUCAUCAAUUCUGAAUGGUUUCCAGUCUCUCUGGUCUGGGAUACAUUCCAAAGUCAGUCCCCCAGGUAGAACUUCAAUGGAUUGAACUAAAUCUAGCCUCUGCAUUUUCUAUUAUGGCUCUUUAUGAACAUUAGUUGAAACUUCAGAUAAGCAGCAUAACUACCCAUCCUUUUUCAUCUCCUUCACUACUGCCAAUAACAACUUAACCCUAACAAUUUCAUACAUUUUCUAUAUAAUCUACACUUUAAAUGAGACAAGCACUUUCUGUCAAUCAAAUGGAGUAUUACACCAAAGUAUCCCAUCAGAUAAUAACGGUGUUUCGUUUAGGUUUUGCAUUAUGG
Thamnophis elegans (Western terrestrial garter snake) is the source of this 1982-nucleotide long non-coding RNA. RefSeq lists it as uncharacterized. The record is from RefSeq and is a predicted model, not a curated record. Lineage: Eukaryota; Metazoa; Chordata; Lepidosauria; Squamata; Natricidae. The transcript has 4 exons.